UUCUUUAUUUUUUUUUUAGAUUCAGUUUUUGACAUGAUCUUCCUUCUGUCAGUAGACACCAAGCUUCAGGGAAGGAUUCAUCCAUUCUUUCUCUCUUCUGUCCAUUCUCCCUCCUUCCCUCUCCCUACCACUCUUUAGCCAUUCUGAUGCAUAUCAAUAGGCAUAUAGUCAAUAAGAAACAUAGCUAGCUGUAAAAUGGCUCUACUCAGAGGGCAGCUGCUUCCCACCAGGCAUAGUUUGCUUCCAUUUCCAUGGACAAAUAUCAUUUUCAUUAUUAUUAAUUUUAAAAUAACAAAAAGAAUGCAAAUAUUUGGUGAUAUUUUUAUCCAAAUGAUAAUGGCUCAGGUUAAAAUCAGAAUUAAAAUGUGUAUAUAGACAUGAAGCUUGGUUUCAAAAAAUAUGUGUGUUGUGUAUAUGUGUAUAUGUGUAUAUGUUGUGUAUAUGUGUAUAUGUGUAUUGUGUAUAUGUGUGUUGUGUAUAUGUGUAUAUGUGUGUUGUGUAUAUGUGUAUAUGUGUAUUGUGUAUAUGUGUGUUGUGUAUAUGUGUGUUUCUGUACAGACUGACACACUAGGUUCAGCUAUUAGAACUGCGGUAAACUACAAUGAGCCUCCUUAGACUAACUUUGGAAAGAGGUAAAAUGUCAAAAGUCAGAUAAAAAUUUAUUUUAGAAACUUGUAGAGUCAUAGCAAAUUAGCCAGGUAAAGGACUCCAAGCCAUAAUGUGGCUUUACUUCAGUCUUAGUCCACAAUCACAAAGAACAAUUACCUAGUGAUUAAUUAAUUCUAGCAUCAAAAUACAAAAUGGGACAUCAACUAUCUGAUUCAUUUUAUGAGCACGGAUGAUUUUGUUUCAACAAUUUGAUUAAAAUGUCUUUAAAAAUUUAUGAACUGGGAUCAUUAAUCAGCAAACAAGGCAGGGCUGUAUCACAAUUAUUAUUUACUACCAGCAACUAAAUUGUUCUCACAGUCAGUGGCAUCUUAAAGGCACAUGAGAGUGGAACCUUUGAUUCCUCGCUUUCCUAUGCCCCUGCAUCCUGUCCAUAUCAGUCUGUGGGCUUCCUCUACUAUGCAUUCAGAACCUCCAUGGCCCUUCACCACGGCCACUACCUAGGACAAGCCACCAUCAUCGCUCCUAGUUCUGCAGCUCUCUCCCUUUCAGGCUCCCUGGUUCACUGUUUCUGCCAAUGGUUUAUUUUUACCAUGUAAACAGAAUGAUCUUUUAAAUGUUAUUCUCUUGCCUAAAACCUUCCAGUGUUCUUUCAUGUAGUGUAGAAUAAGAAACUACCCUGUUGUAGCUACUUUCUGUUGACCAAGCCAGUUUUGGGGAGGAGUGGGUUUAUUUAGCAUAUAAGUCACAACCAUCACUAAAGGGAGCCACAGCAGGAAUCUAGAUCCAGGGUCUGAAGUGUACGUGUGUGUGUGUGUGUGUGUGUGUGUGUGUGUGUGUGUGUGUGUGUGUGUGUGUAGGGAAAUGGGGUGUGGGUGCUGCUUACUGGCUUGCUUAUCAUGGCUCAUUCAGCUUGCUUUCUUAUAUAAUCCAGGACCAAGAGUGUAAGAAUGGUUCUGUCCACAGUGGGCUGGAUCUUUCCAUAUCAAUCAGUAAUCAAGAAAGUGCCCCACAGACAUACUUAAAGGCUAAUGGAUAUAAUUCCACAUUUGAGGUUACCUCUUUCACCGUGACUCUAGCAAGAUGACAAAAACUAACCAGCACAGUCCCAUGGUCAUCCAGUCACAUGACUUGGCACCGUCCAUUUUGCUAACAAGGUUUCCCUUGGCUCUGGUCAUUUCACAUGAGGCUUGUUUCCUCCUUACAGACGCUCCAAUUGUGGAUUUCUCUCUUCCAGGCAUUACCUUGCCAAAGAAGCUUUUUCUGGUCCCUCAGUGUCAAAUAUCCUGUCAUCCAUGCAGUCAUUCUCCCUGUUCAAACUAGAAUGAUCUUGCUUACUGUUGAUUGACUAUCUUCUAUCUUGAAAUAUAUGGUCCUUGUUCCCUGUGGUCUCCCUGGUAGCUUCCACAGCUUCUGAGAUGCCUAGUGAAUACUUAAAUGACCCUAGGAUAUCGAAUAGUAAUAAAUAAUAGCUAAAAAUAGAACACUUUGCAGUAGAACUGAGUAGUGCUUGCACUGCUUAGGCGAUAUUAGCUGUAGGAAAUUAUGUCCAGUAAUGAGCAAAAGUGCUCACAGGAAGUGGCAAUGUAGAAAUAGCGGUGAGCUUAGGGGUCUUUGCUUUGAUUCUGCCCCAGGUGACCUUCCUUUGAGAAGGUCUAACCUUUGCUUUUCUCCAUACCUUGUUAGGUUAGCAGACUCUUCAGAGUUCUGCCUUAUGCACCUGUGUGUCUGUGGGUAAGGCCCUGACAUCUUUUUCUCUACUUCCCUCUUGACACUUGAAAAAAAAGUAGUUUGCAUUAUGAUACAUGCUUAGAUAAUGUUUGUACAUUACUGG
Molecule: long non-coding RNA, 2440 nt
Filed under: Mus musculus (house mouse)
Lineage: Eukaryota; Metazoa; Chordata; Mammalia; Rodentia; Muridae
Description: long non-coding RNA chr4:103360306-103362746
Source: RNAcentral